This 253-nucleotide ribosomal RNA is filed under the name uncultured bacterium. RNAcentral's name for it is "partial 16S ribosomal RNA". It matches the Rfam family "Bacterial small subunit ribosomal RNA", at positions 524 to 776 of the family's 1533-position model. The record is from RNAcentral.
UACGUAGGGUGCGAGCGUUGUCCGGAAUUACUGGGCUUAAAGGGUGCGUAGGCGGCGCGGAAAGUGGGGUGUGAAAGCCCUCGGCUCAACCGAGGAAUUGCGCUCCAAACUACCGUGCUCGAGGGAGAUAGAGGUUAGCGGAACUUCGGGUGGAGCGGUGAAAUGCGUUGAUAUCCGAAGGAACACCGGUGGCGAAAGCGGCUAACUGGGUCUUCUCUGACGCUGAUGCACGAAAGCCAGGGUAGCAAACGGG